Molecule: ribosomal RNA, 405 nt
Filed under: Aeromonas veronii
Lineage: Bacteria; Pseudomonadati; Pseudomonadota; Gammaproteobacteria; Aeromonadales; Aeromonadaceae
Description: bacterial LSU rRNA
Rfam family: Bacterial large subunit ribosomal RNA
Source: RNAcentral
CUGGGGCUGAAGUCGGUCCCAAGGGUAUGGCUGUUCGCCAUUUAAAGUGGUACGCGAGCUGGGUUCAGAACGUCGUGAGACAGUUCGGUCCCUAUCUGCCGUGGGCGUUGGAUGAUUGAAGGGAGUUGCUCCUAGUACGAGAGGACCGGAGUGAACGAACCUCUGGUGUUCGGGUUGUCACGCCAGUGGCACUGCCCGGUAGCUAAGUUCGGAAUCGAUAACCGCUGAAAGCAUCUAAGCGGGAAGCGAGCCCUGAGAUGAGUCAUCCCUGACCCCUUGAGGGUCCUAAAGGGCCGUUGGAGACCACAACGUUGAUAGGUGGGGUGUGUAAGCGCGGCGACGUGUUGAGCUAACCCAUACUAAUUACCCGUGAGGCUUAACCAUACAACACCCAAGAAGUGUUCU